RNAcentral lists this ribosomal RNA (443 nucleotides) under uncultured bacterium. RNAcentral's name for it is "partial 16S ribosomal RNA". It matches the Rfam family "Bacterial small subunit ribosomal RNA", at positions 338 to 795 of the family's 1533-position model. The record is from RNAcentral.
CCUACGGGAGGCAGCAGUGGGGAAUAUUGGGCAAUGGGCGCAAGCCUGACCCAGCAACGCCGCGUGAAGGAAGAAGGCUUUCGGGUUGUAAACUUCUUUUCUCAGGGACGAAGCAAGUGACGGUACCUGCGGAAUAAGCCACGCCUAACUACGUGCCAGCAGCAGCGGUAAUACGUAGGCGGCAAGCGUUAGCCGGAUUUACUGGGUGUAAAGGGCGUGUAGGCGGGACUGCAAAUCAGAUGUGAAAACCAUGGGUUCAACCUAUGGCCUGCAUUUGAAACUGUAGUUCUUGAGUACUGGAGAGGCAGACGGAAUUACUAGUGUAGCGGUGAAAUGCGUAGAUAUUAGGAGGAACACCAGUGGCGAAGGCGGUCUGCUGGACAGCAACUGACGCUGAGGCGCGAAAGCGUGGGGAGCAAACAGGAUUAGAUACCCGGGUAGUC